RNAcentral lists this ribosomal RNA (319 nucleotides) under uncultured eukaryote. Its description in RNAcentral is "partial 18S ribosomal RNA". It matches the Rfam family "Eukaryotic small subunit ribosomal RNA", at positions 1470 to 1796 of the family's 1831-position model. The record is from RNAcentral.
CCCUUAGAUGUCCUGGGCCGCACGCGUGCUACACUGACGCCUACAGCGAGUACUUCCCAGCCCCGAGAGGCGGCUGGUAAUCAGCAAUAGGCGUCGUGAUGGGGAUAGAUCUUUGGAAUUCUGGAUCUUGAACGAGGAAUGCCUAGUAAGCGCAGGUCAUUAGCCUGCGCUGAUUACGUCCCUGCCCUUUGUACACACCGCCCGUCGCUCCUACCGAUUUCGAGUGGUCCGGUGAAUCUUUCGGACUGCGCGCAGCUUCGUGCCGUGUCGCGGAAAGUCAGGUAAACCUAAUCACUUAGAGGAGGGACAAGUCGUAACA